GACGAACGCUGGCGGCGUGCCUAAUACAUGCAAGUCGAGCGAACAGACGAGGAGUUUGCUCCUCGGACGUUAGCGGCGGACGGGUGAGUAACAUGUGGAACAUCCACCUAUAAGACGGGGAUAACUUCGGGAAACCGGAGCUAACACCGGAUAAGAUAUUGAACCGCGGGGGUGAAUGGAAAAAGACGGUGGUGCGGGCAGUAAUAGAGGGAUCCGCGCCGCAUUAGGUGGUUGGGAAGGUAACGGCUUACGAAGGCGACGAUGCGUAGCCGACGGGAGAGGCUGGUCGCCCACACUGGAACGGGGACACGGUCAAGGCUCCUACGGGAGGCAGCAGUAGGCAAUCUGCGGCAGUAGGCGAAAGCAUGACGCAGCACCCCGGCGUGAGUGAUGAAGGUCUUCGGAUCGUAAAACUCUCUUAUUAGGGAAGAACAGCUGUGUAAGUAACUGUGCACGUAUUGACGGUACCUAAUCAGAAAGCCACGGCUAACUACGUG
Molecule: ribosomal RNA, 497 nt
Filed under: uncultured bacterium
Lineage: Bacteria
Description: partial 16S ribosomal RNA
Rfam family: Bacterial small subunit ribosomal RNA
Source: RNAcentral